AUUGAACGCUGGCGGCAGGCCUAACACAUGCAAGUCGAGCGGAUGAAGGGAGCUUGCUCCUGGAUUCAGCGGCGGACGGGUGAGUAAUGCCUAGGAAUCUGCCUGGUAGUGGGGGAUAACGUCCGGAAACGGGCGCUAAUACCGCAUACGUCCUGAGGGAGAAAGUGGGGGAUCUUCGGACCUCACGCUAUCAGAUGAGCCUAGGUCGGAUUAGUUAGUUGGUGGGGUAAAGGCCCACCAAGGCGACGAUCCGUAACUGGUCUGAGAGGAUGAUCAGUCACACUGGAACUGAGACACGGUCCAGACUCCUACGGGAGGCAGCAGUGGGGAAUAUUGGACAAUGGGCGAAAGCCUGAUCCAGCCAUGCCGCGUGUGUGAAGAAGGUCUUCGGAUUGUAAAGCACUUUAAGUUGGGAGGAAGGGCAGUAAGUUAAUACCUUGCUGUUUUGACGUUACCAACAGAAUAAGCACCGGCUAACUUCGUG
Molecule: ribosomal RNA, 484 nt
Filed under: uncultured bacterium
Lineage: Bacteria
Description: partial 16S ribosomal RNA
Rfam family: Bacterial small subunit ribosomal RNA
Source: RNAcentral